Non-coding RNA from Benincasa hispida (wax gourd), 727 nucleotides. NCBI's taxonomy places the organism in Eukaryota, Viridiplantae, Streptophyta, Magnoliopsida, Cucurbitales, Cucurbitaceae. The record is from RefSeq and is a predicted model, not a curated record.
UAUGAGUGAGGCAUUGAAGUGGUGGUGACAAGAAGACAAGGAAGCAGAAUAUCAUAUGAACCAAUUUUUUAAUGGAAAUGAUGACCGUGGCAUAUGAGGCUCGCAUGGCACAUAUCCAAUUCUUAUUACAUCUUGAUGAAUACGAGAAAGCUCUACGAUUUCUUGAGGAGGAGAGGAAUUUUCCUCGAUGUGAAGGAAGACUAUAUCUUUACCAGGCUGUGGUGCAUACAAUGUUGGACAAGGAUGAUAAUGCUGAAAAAUGGUGGAAUAAGUACCUAGAAACCCUUGGCAAUGGCAACGUAAAUGAAAAUUUAAAAAUGAUUGAUUGUACAAAUACAAAUUCAGAGAGCUCUUUGAAGGGUGCUAAAGACUUAUUGAAACCAUUGUUGAGCUUAAAACCAGCAAAGGAGGAAAAAAACUCAGUCCUCUCCAACAUUAUUCCCAUUAAGAAUAUGGCAUUGAAGAAGGUGGUGAAUGGAGAAUAUGAUUUAGCAGAAUGCCUUAUGAAAUGCCCAAGCUGACCUUGCUAGAAACUCAGAGGAGGCAUUGGAGGCACAAAUAGCAUUCUCCACAUUCUUAUAUAUCUUGAUAAAUAUGAAGAAGCUCUAAAACGUCUCAGUGAGAACCAGAAUCAGUUUCCUCCAACUGAUGCAAGACCUUGCUUUACAAGGUAAUACCUUUUUUUCUCUUUUAAAGAACCAAAAUAUGGGGGGGACAUUGUUUCUUU